AAAAUGCGAUAAGUAAUGUGAAUUGCAGAAUUCAGUGAAUCAUCGAAUCUUUGAACGCACAUUGCGCCCUCCAGUAUUCUGGAGGGCAUGCCUGUUCGAGCGUCAUUUCAACCCUCAAGCCCCCGGGUUUGGUGUUGGGGAUCGGUCCGUCAAGGACCGGCCCCGAAAUCUAGUGGCGGUCUCGCUGCAGCCUCCAUUGCGUAGUAGCUAACACCUCGCAACUGGAACGCGGCGCGGCCAAGCCGUUAAACCCCCCAACUUCUGAAUGUUGACCUCGGAUCAGGUAGGAAUACCCGCUGAACUUAAGC
Molecule: unclassified non-coding RNA, 308 nt
Filed under: plant metagenome
Description: partial contains 5.8S ribosomal RNA, internal transcribed spacer 2, and large subunit ribosomal RNA
Rfam family: 5.8S ribosomal RNA (bases 1-105)
Source: RNAcentral